GAGUUUGAUCGUGGCUCAGAGCGAACGCUGGCGGCAGGCCUAACACAUGCAAGUCGAACGGACCCUUCGGGGUUAGUGGCGGACGGGUGAGUAACACGUGGGAACGUGCCUUUAGGUUCGGAAUAGCUCCUGGAAACGGGUGGUAAUGCCGAAAUGUGCCCUUCGGGGGAAAGAUUUAUCGCCUUUAGAGCGGCCCGCGUCUGAUUAGCUAGUUGGCGAGGUAACGGCUCACCAAGGCGACGAUCAGUAGCUGGUCUGAGAGGAUGACCAGCCACACUGGGACUGAGACACGGCCCAGACUCCUACGGGAGGCAGCAGUGGGGAAUCUUGCGCAAUGGGCGAAAGCCUGACGCAGCCAUGCCGCGUGAAUGAUGAAGGUCUUAGGAUUGUAAAAUUCUUUCACCGGGGACGAUAAUGACGGUACCCGGAGAAGAAGCCCCGGCUAACUUCGUGCCAGCCGCCGCCGUAAU
Molecule: ribosomal RNA, 470 nt
Filed under: uncultured microorganism
Description: bacterial SSU rRNA
Rfam family: Bacterial small subunit ribosomal RNA
Source: RNAcentral